This is a long non-coding RNA of Hemicordylus capensis (graceful crag lizard), 1259 nucleotides long. RefSeq lists it as uncharacterized. Lineage: Eukaryota; Metazoa; Chordata; Lepidosauria; Squamata; Cordylidae. The record is from RefSeq and is a predicted model, not a curated record. The transcript has 3 exons.
UUUCACUUCUAUAUUGAUAGGCACUCCAGGGAAUUUCUCGAAUACCUCCUCCAAGCGUGGGAUCUGGUGGUCUUUGCCGUGGGAGAAGCAGCCUGUUGGGAUAAGUAAACUGAGUGGCUUUGGAGGGCUUAGGGCAUUCCUUGCCUGGGCAUAACCCCACCACCUCUUCAUUCCUGAAAUUUUAAGCCACAGUGCCCCUCACCCAAAGCACCUCUACUCACCUGGGGCGAAAGUCACCUCCAGAGACUUCUUAUAGGGUGGCAGAGCCUGUGGGACACAAUUACGAUUGUCAUCGUGGGACACAACCACAACCCCAUCCUUUGUCAAAUGGCAGUCCAGUUCCAGCAGGUUUGUCCCCUGUGACAGGGCACUAAGAAGGUAGAGAGAGGAGUCAGCCAGAGAGCCAGGACAGCAGCUUCUGUGCAGGGGCAGGAUGAGGCACAGAUCAGUGGGAAGACAAAAAGACAGGAAAUAUCCAAUGGAAAAACAAUGAGAGAGACCAAGUUUUAAGAUACUGGAAAUUGUGUGCAAGUUUCCACCACAUUUCAGCUAUAAGCUUUCUUCAUGUGCAUUUCUAAAAUAUACUAACAUAAAUCAACUUUGCAAAAUCUCAAAGGACAACCACACACACACACACAUAUAUAGUUGAAACAUUUAACAAAACCUCAAAUAAAAUGUAUAAUAAUGAUGCACUUACAGCGUAAUCUUGUAAGAACUCUCUAUUUAAAAAGAGAACUGCUUCUUCACUCCAGUUUCUUCACCAAACUUAUGUGAAAGGGAAUAACUAUAUACCCUUCUGACAAGAAACACAGCUGUAACUAAUGGCUGUGUUGAGAGCUCAUGGAUGAUUCCAUUUAAAAGCACAGCUAUAGCUGUUAAUUUUACUAAGGGUUCAUGGAUAAUUUGCUUACAUUUAAAGGGAUGAACUUUAAACUAAAAGGAUGAUAUUUAAAAUAAAGGGAGGCUUUCAAGCUCUUCAUUCAGUCUGUGUGAGGUCAGAGUCUUUAGCUCCAAGAUCCACCAUAUCUCUUUUCUUAAUAGGACUUUAUCAUUGUUUUGAUUAUUCUUUUCUAUUGCCCAGAAUAGUGUAUCAGUUGCUAGAUGAUUCUUUCCCACAAAAUGGCUCACCAUUGCAGCACCUGUUUUCUUAGGCUUAAUAUUAUGCAGAUGUUCCCCUAUCCAGCUUGAGAGGUCUGGAGGUUUUGCCUACAUAUAAUUUCUUGCAUGGGCAUUGUAUGAUAUAAACAACCUUCAGUGUA